Molecule: long non-coding RNA, 3177 nt
Organism: Leopardus geoffroyi (Geoffroy's cat)
Lineage: Eukaryota; Metazoa; Chordata; Mammalia; Carnivora; Felidae
Exons: 2
Source: RefSeq, a predicted model, not a curated record
GUAUGCCUUCCAGAGGACCACGUGUGUCACACCACGCCCCGCACGGUCCCACGCGUGCUGGCCGUGCCCAGUACCGUCGGUAAAGGCAGGCAACCCUUUAGCCUGAAACUGAAAUUAAAUCCGUAAUUAUUAAGUUAUUAAAUCCGCAAAUGUACAAAGUAAAAAGGCCAAUCAUCUAGUACAAGGAUUGGCGAUAAAACCUCAGACGGUGACUUUGUUCACAGUGGGUGUCACCGAGAAGUACACAGGAAUUCUGUACACCAUCAACAACCGCACAUGUCAAAGGCAGGCUUGGGGACACAAGAAGCAUCGGGGAAAAGUCCCCACGGGCAGAAGCGGCAAAAACAUUUUGGUAGCUUAAUAAAACAGGUGAAUUUUUUCUUAGUUUACGUGAACCGUACCUGGCUCAUUUUCACAAACGUGGGGGACGGGGGAAUUACCAACCGAAAAUAGCUAUUGUAUACAAGAUACCUGCGGUAGCAAAAGCAAUAGCUAAAUUUGUGUGAAAGUUUCAAUUGCCUUCAUCCAAAAUUUGAUUCGCUGCAAUCAAGGUCAUCGUGGGUCAAAAUGAAACUUGUAUCAAAGGUGCAUGAGAAAUUACCAGAAUGGCUUUCCUUACUGCCUACAAAACCAUUCCUGUUGGAAAGGAACUUUUUAAUAGGCAACUUAAGACUCGAGGGUGACCACAGAAAGAGUAGAGGAGGAAGGUGUCUGGUCGAAGACGCCCACCGACAGGGAGACCUUCCCACGGUGAAUGUCACCUCCAGGUGAAGCCUUUUUACCAACAGGUUUUGCUUUUAGUGCAAUACCCCCAAAUUCAAGCCACAUUAAAAUAAUUCUGUUCUGUAUGUUACGGCCUGAAUUGUGCCCCCCCAAUUCAUACGUGAGAGCCCCGACUGCUCCCCAGUGUAACUGCUUUUAGAGACAGGGUUUUGAAUAUAAUCACCUUUUAAGGAGUUGGGCUGAGGUUGGAGGUCAGGAGGGUGGCCCUGCUCUGACCUGACCGGCGUCCUGACCGGAAGAGGAGGGGACGCCGGAGAGGUGCACCUGCGGGGGAGGAGGCAGGAGCGGACUCGGGGAGAGGGCGGCAUCCGCAAGCCCAGGAGAGCCUCCCAUGGGGCCCACUGCUGCACCCGUGUCCUGGCCUCCCAGCCGCCAGGACCGUGAGGGAUAAGUUCCCGUUGUUCGAGCCGCCUGGUCCGUGGCGUUUUGUGAGGACAGGCCUAGCAGGCGAGCACCCCGUGUCAACACUUGAUUGCUGAAGAGAGUCCGAGGAAACGUUCUCUGUUCAGGUGAGCUAAACAAAGGCUGAGCGCCGGGAAUAUUCACCCAAGGGCAGAUUGACAGGGAAAACGUGGAAUGCCAGGUUAGAUGUGAAUUUACGGUACGUCCAUACCACGCAAAAUUUGUAUUUUUUUCUCUUAUCCCAUUUCCUCUUAAUCCUCCCCCAUCCAGAGUUCCUAUUGAUGUAACUUUUAACUGGAUACACUUGCUUUAAAAAAGAAGCUCAAGGUGAAGAGAGGAAAUUAUCCAGCAGAAUUAACCUCAAGGUUCAGAUUGAUCUCACGGAAGAGGAAGGUGUGAAGGGCGGGCAUGUCGGGGGUCAGCGUGAGACCUGCUGUUGGGGGCGACUGUGUGCACCCCCCCCCACGGAGGAUGUACCUCGCUCUCCUCUGACUGUGCACCCCCCCCCCCCACGGAGGGUGAACCUCACUCUCCUCCCUGGAAGGGGCUCCAGCCUUACAGUUCCUCACAUGUAAGACCAAAGCACAACCAAUAGAACGAAAAUAGACAAAGUGGAUUUCAUCGAACAUAAAAGCCCUGGUGAUUCCGAGGGCACCAUCAGGAACGUGAGCAGACGAGUCACGGAACGGGAUAAAAUAUCUGCCAGCCACGUAUCUGAUAAGGAACUUGCCUCUAGAAUACCCAAAGAAGUCUAAGAACUCAAUGAUAAAAUGGCAAGUAAGCGGCAUCACAACGUCCACAGGAUUGAACACACGUUUCUCCCAACAAGACGCACAAGUGACCACGUGAGAGUGUGCGCGAUCGGUCAUUAAACCGCAACAGUGCAAGGCCCCACGCGCAUAGGGUGGCUGCAGUUUUUUUAAAAGAUGGAAAGUAACGAGCGUUGGAAAGGAUGAGAGGAGAAAUUAGACACCCGAUGCUGGUGAGGACCCAAUGCAGCACUUUGGCGGUUCUCAAAGACGCUAAACAGAGUCACCAUACGGCCUGGCGAUUCUGCCAUCAGGUAGACACUCAGGAAAGAGAAAAGGACGUGUACACAACAUCUCUACACAAAUGUUCACAGAACCAUGGAAACGAGACAACGUCCGUCAGCUGAGGAACGGACACAUAAAACGUGGAGCAGGAUUCCGGCACCAAUGGGGAUGAAACGCCAACAUCCGCCAGAGCGUGGCCGGUCCUCGUGACCAUGGCGCUGAGUGAGAGAAGCCAGUCACAAAAGAGCAAACACAGGAGGCUCCACCCGUGUGAAGGGCCCGGAAUGAGGAAGUCCACAGGGACAGAGGUAGACUGGCGGUCAUCUGGGGCUGGGGGUGGCCGUGGGGAACUGCCAAUGGAUACGGGGCUUGGGGUUUCGUUGGAAGGAUGAAAAUGUUCUAGAAUUAGAAGCAUUGUGAUGCUGCACAACACAGGGACGACGCUGAAAACUUCUGAGUUGUACCCUUCACGCGUGGGAGUUUUACCAGACCUCACACAGCUGCUUAAAGAAAGCUCGUGGCGUGGAGCGUGGAGGCGUGUGGAUGAACGAGGAGGCAGCAGGAGGGCGGCGGGAGGCCACGGACGGGCCUCGGGCCAUAUGAGGUGACAGGGGCACCACGUGAGAGGCCUGAACAGAGGAAGGGCUCGUGUUUUUAAAGGUCAGCAUUGAGAAAGCUGCAUGUGGACAAGACUCCAGCCGACAGGUGCGCGAGGAUGCACAGAGACCCGGGGUCCGCCACGGUGACCCAGGUGCCAUGAGCACGCGAUUCAGGGAGAGGGGCAGCCACCAACGUGGCACACACAGUUCAAGUGCAGGACGCUCAGGCUGGCCUGCAGAACUGAACACAAGGGGUCGGGGAAACUGCGUCAAGGACGACUCGUGUUGUUCGACCUUACCCCGAGAUUCAGAUGCCUUUGUGAAAUUUAGUGUUUUGUUUUGCAUAAACGUGUAAGAAA